GUACUGCUGAAGAGUCCCACACUAGGAUGAAACAGCUGUCCAGUAC
Non-coding RNA from Trichobilharzia regenti, 46 nucleotides. Lineage: Eukaryota; Metazoa; Platyhelminthes; Trematoda; Strigeidida; Schistosomatidae. The record is from Rfam.